ACACCCUUUGCCUCCCCUUGCUUGCUUAUCGUUAUCAGAAUUCACAUGAAAGCAGAAGGAGAUACAACUGGUGGGAGGUUCGUCUUUCAAUUUCGCUCUUUGCCUCACCUUGCUUGCUUGCUGUGGACACCUUAGGAUCACUGCUUUGUCUUUUACUCGAUUCCUUUGUCUUGUCACUGCAACUUGAGUAUGUGGGUCACAUGCGGCAUAACGAGCUCAUCUCUCUCUCUCGCUCUCUCUCUCUCUCUCGCGCGCGUGCGCGCCCAAAAUAGUGGGAUGUGCCAUGCCAUCAACAUUGGACCAUAAGCCCAAAAUAGUGAUAGCUCUGGAUAAGUACCAGGGAUCCACAAAACCAUGUCACUUUGGUGUGGAAAGUAGUGAUAGUUCAGCACUCAAUAAUAUCUACUUUGGAGAAAACGAUAAAGCCGAGAGCUUCUCAGUCAAACUACAGACGCCAGCAACCCCACCUCAUCCUCGAAAUCCUCAAAAGUCUUAUAAGAACCCAUUUGCCAUUCCCACUUCUUGCUGCUUCUGGUCCCUUCAAAUUGGGAAGAACAUGCGCCAUUAUCCCCCACCAUAUAAACUAUAAUGACGCUCGCAAGUACCCUGUGUUCCAAGGACAAACCCGAACUGUCUUAGCCACGAAACUAAUGGUAAUACAGAUUGUAACAUCCGCUCUCUUUCAUACCCUGCUUUAGGAUCAGAUAAAAGGCGCAAAUCCUUCCAGUUGCGUGGUGUAGCAUGGAGGGGGUCGCAACUCGCUGCAGAAA
Syzygium oleosum is the source of this 770-nucleotide long non-coding RNA. RefSeq lists it as uncharacterized. The transcript has 2 exons. Lineage: Eukaryota; Viridiplantae; Streptophyta; Magnoliopsida; Myrtales; Myrtaceae. The record is from RefSeq and is a predicted model, not a curated record.